This 383-nucleotide RNase P RNA is filed under the name Tepidicaulis marinus. Its description in RNAcentral is "Bacterial RNase P class A". It matches the Rfam family "Bacterial RNase P class A". Rfam says of the family: Ribonuclease P (RNase P) is a ubiquitous endoribonuclease, found in archaea, bacteria and eukarya as well as chloroplasts and mitochondria. Its best characterised activity is the generation of mature 5'-ends of tRNAs by cleaving the 5'-leader elements of precursor-tRNAs. Lineage: Bacteria; Pseudomonadati; Pseudomonadota; Alphaproteobacteria; Hyphomicrobiales; Parvibaculaceae. The record is from Rfam by way of RNAcentral.
UCAGAUGGCCGGACGGCCGCUCCGCUCCGAAAGGGGCGGGGAGGAAAGUCCGGGCUCCAUGGAAACACGGUGCCGGGUAACGCCCGGCGGGGGCGACCCUAGGGAAAGUGCCACAGAAAGCAAACCGCCCCGCAUAGCCUUCGGGCGACGCGGGGUAAGGGUGAAAGGGUGCGGUAAGAGCGCACCGCGCGCCUGGCAACAGGGGCGGCACGGUAAACCCCACCGGGAGCAAGACCUAAUAGGGAUGGGGCUCUUCAAUGAGCAAGCCCGUUUUCAGGCUCCAUCCGGGUUGGUCGCGCGAGGCAUCCGGCAACGGGUGUCCCAGAUGAAUGGCCGUCGCCGGCUUGCCGGCACAGAACCCGGCUUACAGGCCAUCUGACGCC